This 469-nucleotide ribosomal RNA is filed under the name uncultured bacterium. RNAcentral's name for it is "partial 16S ribosomal RNA". It matches the Rfam family "Bacterial small subunit ribosomal RNA", at positions 28 to 507 of the family's 1533-position model. The record is from RNAcentral.
GACGAACGCUGGCGGCGUGCUUAACACAUGCAAGUCGAACGGAAAGGCCCUGCUUGCAGGGUGCUCGAGUGGCGAACGGGUGAGUAACACGUGGGUGAUCUGCCCCUUACUUUGGGAUAAGCCUGGGAAACUGGGUCUAAUACUGGAUAGGACCAUGCUGUAGGUGGUGUGGUGGAAAGAUUAGUUUCGGUAAGGGAUGAGCUCGCGGCCUAUCAGCUUGUUGGUGGGGUAAUGGCCUACCAAGGCGUCGACGGGUAGCCGGCCUGAGAGGGUGGACGGCCACAUUGAGACUGAGAUACGACCCAGACGCCUACGGGAGGCAGCAGUGGGGAAUAGUGCACAAUAGGCGCAAGCCUGAUGCAGCGACGCCGCGUGGGGGAUGACGGCCUUCGGGUUGUAAACUACUUGCCGCCAUGACGAAGCCCUUGUGGUGACGGUAGUGGUAGAAGAAGCACCGGCUAACUACGUG